RNAcentral lists this ribosomal RNA (462 nucleotides) under uncultured bacterium. Its description in RNAcentral is "partial 16S ribosomal RNA". It matches the Rfam family "Bacterial small subunit ribosomal RNA", at positions 28 to 507 of the family's 1533-position model. The record is from RNAcentral.
GACGAACGCUGGCGGCGUGCUUAACACAUGCAAGUCGAACGGUGAAGCCCUUCGGGGUGGAUCAGUGGCGAACGGGUGAGUAACACGUGAGCAACCUGCCCCUGGCUCUGGGACAACCACUGGAAACGGUGGCUAAUACCAGAUACGACCCGCCUCGGCAUCGAGUGUGGGUGGAAAGUUUUUCGGCUGGGGAUGGGCUCGCGGCCUAUCAGCUUGUUGGUGAGGUGAAGGCUCACCAAGGCGACGACGGGUAGCCGGCCUGAGAGGGCGACCGGCCACACUGGGACUGAGACACGGCCCAGACUCCUACGGGAGGCAGCAGUGGGGAAUAUUGCACAAUGGGCGAAAGCCUGAUGCAGCGACGCCGCGUGAGGGAUGACGGCCUUCGGGUUGUAAACCUCUUUCAGCUCCGAAGAAGCGAAAGUGACGGUAGGAGCAGAAGAAGCACCGGCUAACUACGUG